Long non-coding RNA from Ictalurus punctatus (channel catfish), 1904 nucleotides. The record is from Ensembl. Lineage: Eukaryota; Metazoa; Chordata; Actinopteri; Siluriformes; Ictaluridae.
AGCAAAUGAAAACAGUUCAGGCGUACGCUGAAAAGGCAAUAAGAGUGUUUACAGGAGGAGAGACGCAGACAAAUCACCCAAUAGAGCGGCGCGGGGAUGACGUCAUUCUGUACCAAAACCCGGAAGUUAUCAUCAGGAGGAUAAAGCGAGGCUCGCCGCUCAAGCGCUAAAACGCUAAGGGUUUUUGGCGUACAAAAUGAUGUCAUCCCUGCACCACUUUCUGGUGACUGGCUGUAAGUUUAGGAAGCACUUGAACUGAUUUGCAGCGGAGUUUUCUAUGAGCGGAGGACGAACUUUAAACGUCAAUAUCGCAGUCGAUCGCGUUCAUUUAAUCGUGGGCAGUCAAAAUCGCAAUCGCCAUCGAUAUCCGAUUAAUUGUGCGGCGCUACCUAAAACCAAGAAAUAACCUCCUAAACCACACGGGACACCGGUUACACUUUUGUGCAUUACAUAGCGCAAGUAAUGUAGUUAAUGUUAGACAGAUUUCAGGCAAGAGAGGAAGACUGAGAGAGAGAGAGAGAGAGAGAGAGAGAGAGAGAGAGAGAGAGAAAGGCAGAGGGAAAGAGAAAGAGAGAGAGAAAAAGGGAGACAAAAGAGCUGCUGACACAGACACGAGAAAGAUACAGAGAAAGACAGACCAUCAGAGAUGGAUAUAUAAUGACCGAUAUAAAGAGAAAGAGAGAGAGAGAGCGACAGAUAGAGAGAAAGAUGGAUAUAGAGAAUGAUAAAGACAGAGAAACAGAGUCAGAAACAGAGUCAAAGAUAAAUAGAUAGAUAGACAGAUAGCAAGAGAUAGAGAGACAGAUAGACAGACAAACAGACAGUGAUAGAUAGACAGAGUGAAAGUCAGAGAGUGAGAGAGAUAGAUAGAUAGAGACAGAGACAGAUAUAUAGCUAAAGACAGAUAGAGAGACAGUGAGAGAGUGAGAUAGAUAUAGAUAGAAAUAGUGACAGAGACAGAGUGAGAGAAAUAGAUGGAUAGACAGAUAAUGAGAGAGACAGACAGAUAGAGGCAGUGAGAGUGAGACAGAUAGAUAGUGACAGAGAGGCAGUGAGAGUGAGACAGAGAGGCAGUGAGAGUGAGACAGAGAGGCAGUAAAAGUGAGAUAUAUAGAUAGAUGCAGUGAGACAGAUAGAUAGAUGAGAGACCGUGAGAGAGAGGCAGUUAGAAAGAAAGCCAGAUCGAGAGAAAGACAGUUAAAGACAGAGAGAGAAACACUGCAAUCUGAUGACGCAGCGCUACAAAGUAAACAAGCUUUACUACUUCCUCAAUGCACAGAGGAAAAACAUGUCAAAACACGAGCGAAGGAAAACCGGAUCAAACCCAACAAUGAACAUUUCUUUAUUCUUUCUUUAUCAUUUCACAACCACAACCCCCGACAUUACCGAGUUUAAACCCCCAGCAGCGCUGAACCUCCGUUUCCUGCUCCCCAGAAACACCAGUGAGCUUAGCGUUAGCAUAGCGCCGAACACAACAGCAACAAGACACAGCGCGUGAACGUUACCAUUUCCUCUCUCGCUACAGUGUAACACUUCCUCCCACUCUCACUCUCAACACUUCACUCAACACCGACACACUGCACCCCUGUCUUCAUGUCCUGAACACUGUCUUCAUGUCCUCUCCGCUUCCCAAUCACAGAAUGAGUGUGAGUGUGUGAGUGUGUGUGUGUGUGUGAGGAAGAUUUUCAGGAUCUCCUCCUCGCGCCUCUGUCGCUCCAUACAGUGGUUCAUUUAACCUGAUUUAAUCAUCUAUCACCUCACAUCACACACCGCAAAUCACCACACACACUCUCACACUCUCUCUCUACAUGCACUCGGAGAAAGAUUAGAAACAUUAGUGACGAGAGAAACGGAGAAAUCUUCCAUCUUACCCAGGCGGUGCAGGAUUUCAAAAUGGUCGGUCU